GAUGAACGCUGGCGGCGUGCCUAAUACAUGCAAGUCGAGCGAACAGACGAUGAGCUCGUGCUUUUGACGUUAGCGGCGGACGGGUGAGUAACACGUGGGUAACCAACCUAUAUGACUGGGAUAACUUCGGGAAACCGCAGAUAAUACCAGAUAAUAUUUCGAACCGCAUGAUUCAAUAGUGAAACAUGGCUUUGCUGUUACAUUUAGAUGGUCCUGCGCCGUAUUAGCUAGUUGGUAAGGUAACGGCUUACCAAGGCAACGAUACGUAGCCGACCUGAGAGGGUGAUCGGCCACACUGGAACUGAGACACGGUCCAGACUCCUACGGGAGGCAGCAGUAGGGAAUCUUCCGCAAUGGGCGAAAGCCUGACGGAGCAACGCCGCGUGAGUGAUGAAGGUCUUCGGAUCGUAAAACUCUGUUAUUAGGGAAGAACAAACGUGUAAGUAACUGUGCACGUCUUGACGGUACCUAAUCAGAAAGCCACGGCUAACUACGUG
Molecule: ribosomal RNA, 497 nt
Filed under: uncultured bacterium
Lineage: Bacteria
Description: partial 16S ribosomal RNA
Rfam family: Bacterial small subunit ribosomal RNA
Source: RNAcentral